CAAAUAAUUCAGACUUCACAAAGAUCCACACCUAACUAGAUGGAUAAAUAAAUGUAUUACAAAGUUAGUAAUGCAGGAUAAAAGUCGUGACAUAAUAUAAUGUAAGUGAAAUUCCCAAUGGAAGUGGUUCGUGUCCCGACAAAAAUGGACAUUCUGAACUGCAAGUUAAAAGUGAAAGUAGACUAAAACUACAGUAUGAGAGCUAAUACAUAUAUAAAUAAGUAUUAAACAAUAUAGAAGUACACAAUUCUAUGAUUUCUACAACAUCAAGUCAUAAUUAUUACAUAACGAGCGUAAACUACUAAUUUUGGAGUCCCUUCAACAUGCAUAAACGACAUGUAAACAAUCAAUUUCCGGUGACAUUCCAGAAAUGUACUUUAACACCAUAUGUAAACAAACGGAUAACUUACAAUGGAACCAGAUGGAAUUUAACAGGGGUGUGAAUAACGAAAUAUCUUAACAAAAAUAAAUAAUAACAAUAUAACAUUUGAGACCAUUUUAACUUAUUUAUGGAUCAUAAAAAGGACAUAAUAAGGAACCAAUUUCUGGCCGGCACAAC
This 559-nucleotide long non-coding RNA is filed under the name Mytilus galloprovincialis (Mediterranean mussel). The record is from RNAcentral. Lineage: Eukaryota; Metazoa; Mollusca; Bivalvia; Mytilida; Mytilidae.